This 85-nucleotide transfer RNA is filed under the name Tissierellia bacterium. RNAcentral's name for it is "tRNA-Leu". It matches the Rfam family "tRNA". Rfam says of the family: Transfer RNA (tRNA) molecules are approximately 80 nucleotides in length. Their secondary structure includes four short double-helical elements and three loops (D, anti-codon, and T loops). Lineage: Bacteria; Bacillati; Bacillota; Tissierellia. The record is from RNAcentral.
GCGGAUGUGGCGGAACUGGCAGACGCACUAGACUUAGGAUCUAGCGCUUCACGGCGUGGGGGUUCAAAUCCCUUCAUCCGCACCA